GAGAGAGGAACUACGAGGCAGAUCUUUCUCGACUGAGCCCAGAUAUGGAAACCAAAAAAAAAAAAAACCCUCUGGUGCAGCUCAUGAAUGAGGAUGUUACUGGAAGCUCUGCAAUCUUGUCCUGCUCUUUCAGUUACAAAAAACCAAGUCAAGACAUGAAAUCUAUUAAGACUCAAUGAUGGCAAGAAUAUAUAAAACAUCAUUAAGAGAAAAUGAUUCACCUGAGGAUCAAAAAUAUAACAUUUCUCAGAGAAGUUUACGGAAGGAAGCUUCACUUUCACACUCAUUUGCAGCUUCAUCUGUGUAUUUGCAGUGCUGAUACAUAAAG
Long non-coding RNA from Sinocyclocheilus grahami, 328 nucleotides. RefSeq lists it as uncharacterized. Lineage: Eukaryota; Metazoa; Chordata; Actinopteri; Cypriniformes; Cyprinidae. The transcript is spliced from 3 exons. The record is from RefSeq and is a predicted model, not a curated record.